This 161-nucleotide non-coding RNA is filed under the name unclassified sequences. RNAcentral's name for it is "Clostridiales-1 RNA". It matches the Rfam family "Clostridiales-1 RNA". The record is from RNAcentral. RNAcentral also lists the same sequence under 1 other name.
UGAAAGUCCCGGACGGAAACCGCGAAUAAGCCAUGCUUGCAUAGAGCGAAUUCACAGGCAUCGAACGGGCAAACCGGUAUGAGCAAAGAACGCGAUAGCGCGAAUAGCGAAUGCAGGCAACGAUAGCGGGAGCACCAAAGGUACAGAGCAAUCGGAUAACA